This is a non-coding RNA of Rhodocollybia butyracea, 93 nucleotides long. The record is from the annotation of a GenBank genome assembly. Lineage: Eukaryota; Fungi; Basidiomycota; Agaricomycetes; Agaricales; Omphalotaceae.
GGUCCAAUAGUGUACAGGUUAACACGCGCGAUGACUUGAUGAUAGAUCUCAUUAGUUCUCUGUGAGAUCCAGGUUCGAGUCCUGGUUGGACCG